Molecule: ribosomal RNA, 482 nt
Filed under: uncultured bacterium
Lineage: Bacteria
Description: partial 16S ribosomal RNA
Rfam family: Bacterial small subunit ribosomal RNA
Source: RNAcentral
AUUGAACGCUGGCGGCAUGCCUUACACAUGCAAGUCGAAUGGUAACAGGUCUUCGGAUGCUGACGAGUGGCGAACGGGUGAGUAAUACAUCGGAACGUGCCCGAUCGUGGGGGAUAACGAAGCGAAAGCUUUGCUAAUACCGCAUACGAUCUACGGAUGAAAGCAGGGGACCGCAAGGCCUUGCGCGAACGGAGCGGCCGAUGGCAGAUUAGGUAGUUGGUGGGAUAAAAGCUUACCAAGCCGACGAUCUGUAGCUGGUCUGAGAGGACGACCAGCCACACUGGGACUGAGACACGGCCCAGACUCCUACGGGAGGCAGCAGUGGGGAAUUUUGGACAAUGGGCGAAAGCCUGAUCCAGCCAUGCCGCGUGCAGGAUGAAGGCCUUCGGGUUGUAAACUGCUUUUGUACGGAACGAAAAGACUCUGGUUAAUACCUGGGGUCCAUGACGGUACCGUAAGAAUAAGCACCGGCUAACUACGUG